CUUCUACUUCCUUCACUUGAUUGAAUGAAACCUUCAGCAAUCCACAAUUGGAUCAGUCGCUCCUUGCCAAUUGUAACACCUUGGGGAAAUAUUGAACAGUAUGCAAAACAUUGCUUCAGAUGAGAUGGUAGAUGAUUAUAGCUCAGUCUCAAGGCUGGUAAAACAGAAGAUUCAAAUUCUGGCAAUAUCUCCAUCCUUUAGUUGUACCCAUUCACUUUCUUCUCUUUUAAAUCGCAUCAAGCCAGCAAGAGUCUUAAUAGCGAGAGGCAAUCCAUUGCAUCUGGCAACAAGCCUC
Molecule: unclassified non-coding RNA, 295 nt
Filed under: Hevea brasiliensis (rubber tree)
Lineage: Eukaryota; Viridiplantae; Streptophyta; Magnoliopsida; Malpighiales; Euphorbiaceae
Source: RNAcentral